AGACAUCUUUCAUUUAGCAGGCCACCACAAUCAAGCUCACACAUGGUCCAACAUAUAUUCAUGCUAAAUAACAAGAUAUAAUAGAUGAUGGUCACAAGACAUGAAAGGAUAACGCACCAGUACGUACGUGCGUCAUUUCACACUGAAAAACACAGACAGGUUCCGGUUCAGAAAGGGAGAAAGCCAAAACAAAAGUUCACAGCUAUUAAUCGCGACAAAACGUAUGCACAGGAUAAUUGAGUAAGCGCAUUGUUGGAUCCUCCAGAUUUAAGCACCAAGCUCCUGCUGACCUGACCAUCAGUAAGUAACCUGUCAGGUGAGUUUACUACGUAAGCUUCUAUCACAAUUACAGAGGUGGUACAACUUUUAUAGAAAAACAAACAACCAAUGCACUCACCACCUCACUCCAUGUGUCGGCAUGUGCAAGAGCAACUCCAGAGAAGGUAACGGCCGGGUUCCUGCUACGACCUGCAUACAAGCGUCCAAAGAGUUAGAUUCAAUAGCAUAAGAAGGUAAACUCCCCUCUCGCCUCGCCCCCCUCGCGGGCGACACGGGGGGAUCCAACCUCUGCCGCCAGAGAGUCAUCCCGUGCCCGUCCUCCCCUCCGCUGCAGGUGGUCGGCGACGGGCUAAGCCCGUGCGUGCGACACGGUGGCGGAGGGCCUCUUCCCUCUCCCCCGGAUCCAUGGGUGGCGCGGGCGCCCAGAUCCGCGGAGGUGCGGCCCCCACUUCGGUCCACGGCGACGCCUGUGGUGGUGCCGGUGGGAAUCGGCCGGUUGCACAGGGGGCGCUGGUGGCCGGGGCGGCGACCCCAUGGCUAGGUGGCGGCGUGCCUGUUGGUCCGACUGGUUCCGGCCCGUCCUGGAUCUGGUGACUACCGGACGGCGCGGGGGGUGGCGGCGGCCCGGCGUGGCCGGCGAUCUGGACGCGGUGGUGCCGGCGGCUCUUCGCUGGUUUGCCGGAGUUCCAGGGGUAUCAUCGUCUCUGACUCGUUCUGCUCCGGUUCGUGCUAGUUCCGGUCCAGGGAGACUGUCGUCAUCUCCCGGUGCUAGCUGCAUGGAUCUGGCGGCGGCGACUGGAUCCUUUUGAUCUAGUCUCCGACAGAGAAGGCGGCGAUCCGUGCACAAGAAGCUGGAUGGAGUUCUUCGAACAGAUCUGGGUGAAAACCUGCUCUUGGCUAGAUGCCAAAGCCGGCGGUGGCGGCACUCUGCGGUGUAGUUCCCUUCAUGAAGGCAUCGCCGUGGAGAAGUUCUAGACCACUAUCUGCUACCUCCGGGGGAAACCCUAGAUCGAUAGAUCAGAAGACGGCGGCGCGCUUGUGUCGUUUCCCCCCUUGGGGGCGUCAUUCUUGGAGGUGUACACGGACUCGAGGGACCAGUGGACGACGUCUUUGGUGGAGCGGUGCUUCAUCAUUCACAUUCAUGGUGACAGAUCUCGAUGGCAUGGCACCCUGGAGAUUAGGCGUCUGAUGUGCGAUGAUGGACUCGCGCAGGAGGGUGACGCUGUCUGGCGUCAACGGCAGCUAGACCGGGCAAGGUAGAUGCAGCAGUACAGCUCUGAAGAUGGAUUGGUGGCAGGUGGCGGCGGCGGCCUCUCAGUGUGCGCCGGACCGGUGGGUGUCCCAUACCCGGCAGGCGUCCUGGUUGGGGCCUCAGGUCUUAGAUGUUAGGUUUGGCUGCGAGGUCUGUUUGGUAUUAGGCCCAGACUAUCAGCGUCCCUUCAUCAACUGGAUAGGAGUAGCGACAGAUGUUGCCUAGACGGUGGCUUCUGUUUUACUGUUGUACUAUUACUUUGUAAGGUCGUUUGUGCAUAAUUAAUAAAGUGGCUGCAUGCAUCGUCCAGAUGCAGAGGGCGGGGGUCUUCCUCCUUUUCAAGCAAAGAAAAAUACUUCAGACUCAUAAGAUGAGGAAUUUUUUGUUUCUCGGUCACAGACCUAGCGAUGCAGUGUUAAGGAAUUCUUCGUCUUCAGGGAACAGCUGCAGAUUUUUUGAUUUCAGAAUGUGCUCGACAGCGGUACCGUAGAAGUCCAUAAAGCUACAUAUUUUAACGACCUCCGCAAGCAAAGGGAUAUGCUCUGCUUUCUCGAAGAGCAGCCCUUGGGAUAUCUCAUCUGCAAACUUUGUCGCAAACUCCAACUUUUCCUUGUAGCCUGGUGCACGCUUGCUUUUCUGCAUGUAGAGUUUCGAGCUCUCCCUCCCCCACCGGAGUUUCCGUGUGCCCUUCACAUCAAGAACGUCCCCAGAGGAUAGCUUCACGUUGUAUCCCACCGUGAUUGGCUCGCUGGUCUCUAGCACCAUCACAUCGAGCAGGCAGGAAACAAUCUUGUGCCGCUCUUCAGCAGAAAUGUCGAGAGCAGGAUCGGCAAGAAAAGCAAGGACAAGUUUGAUCAUACCAACAUUGAUCACCUUACAUCGAGCAGCUUUUGUUGGACUGACAUUUUCCAAUGUGAGUGAAUCAUUCUUCCCAACAGCUUUGGAUAUUGCCUGGACUCCAAUGCUACCGUGGAUGUUGUUCAGCUUUGCUCGAGACAUGGAAGGCAGGCUUGAAGAAGGAUACCAGAUGAACAAUGACCGGUUAGGAAGCUUGUCGAACAAAUCCUUGAGAAGUAGAUCAUCGGGAAUAAACACGUCCUCUUUCUUUGACAUAAGGAUAGUUCCGUCGGUGCAAACUGGAACCUUGACAAAAGCAGGAAGAAGCUUUUGUUGGAAUUGAUCUACGGCUGAAACAAAGCGUGAGAGAAAAGGGGGAGCCUUUUGACCCCAGACGUGUAAUGAUCGGAAGCACACCACACAUCCACACGUUUGGUUUUGGUCCGAUGUUCCCAGCACACAUACAUAUAAGGAAAAGGGGGAUUUUCAUUAUGGAAACGGAAUCACGAUCUAAACCCACCUAACUGCUGAUCCUGAAGAUGUGCUGAGGUACUUGAAGGCACCACUGGCCACCCUAAGGCUAUGCCGGUGGCCCCCUGCACGUCCAUCUCCCUGCUGCCCCUUCUUCCCCGGCCAUCUCUUCACUGCCGGUGACCCCAAGGUGCAGCCAUGGGCUACCUCCACGGUCUCAACCAAGUCUGGUCAGUAUCUAUUUUUCACAUCAUGCAUUAGAUCAGUGGCGGAGCUAUGUUGGUUGCUGGGGGGCUGUGGCCCCCUCAACAUUGAACCAACUUGUGAAGGAAAAAAUAUUAUGAUGGCUUAGAUGAAAACUUUGUUAGCUUUUGUAUUCCGCCCCCCCCCCCCUAAGCUGUCCUGUCACAUUUCUCUACCUAAUAAUAAAGAGAAUUGGGUUUCUGCCCGUACGUCAUAAAAACUACCCUCGAAGUUGCCCUAAAUUACCCACUAUGCCAUCUAUAAGUGAAAAAACUGAUUUAGUUUCUUUUUCUUGAAAGCCGCCGCGGGGUUUGAUUAUUACACAAUGGUACCCUAAUAAAACACAAGCAGAAGAGUGCGGCACUGGUCUGUGCUUCAACACAUCAUGUGGGAGUAGGGAUGGCAAUGGGUACCCAUUAUCCGCGUACCCUGUGGGUAAAAACCCUAUUAGGGUAAGGGUAUGGAAGAAAAAAUUACCCAUGGGUACUUAAAUGGGAAAAUAUCAUACCCAUCGGGUAGAGAGGGUACGGGUAUGGGAUCGUAUAACCCAUGCCCACGUACCCAUGUACCCAUCGAAAAUGUUGACAGGUGGGUUUCCGUUAAUAUUCCUAUGUAUUCAUUUCCCCUCCUAAUCACGCUAGGUAAACACUCUAAUGUGUAUUCAAAUUAUCUCUAUAAUUUAUCAUGAUUUCGUGAACUAAAAGUGUAUGCAUAUGUGUUGUUAUUUAUGAUUAUGUGUUGUUGUUUAAUAUUUUUAUAUGUCACUUUAUAGGCAAGUAUUUUUGUUUAUGAGAAUAUGUUGUUGUCACAAUAUGUUGUUGUACAUUGCUGUUUAAAAUGUGUUGCUAUUAAUAAUUUAUGAUUAUAUGUUGCUUUUUACAACUAUUCUACUCAAUUCAUGUGUUGUAAACGCGGUUAUUUGUACCCGCGGGUACCCAUAUACCCUGGCGGGUGACGGGUAUGGGAAAAAAUGUACCCUUAACGGGUAUGGGCAUGGGUGAUGGGUAAACUCAGGGCGGACGGGUAAGGGUAUGGGGUAGCUCCACCCGUACCCAUACCCUGUGGGUGCCAUCCCUAUGUGGGAGACCCGGGUUCGAUCCCUGGUUCACCCCUUUUCUCUUUUUUUUCUGCAAGGGGUCGUCCUUCUCCCGCACAUGUUACAGGUGUGAUGUCUCCAUUCUGUUUUCUUUUCUUUUUUUUUUACUUUUUUUCUUCUUAUUUAUUUUUAUGUUUUUCUCUUUUAAAUUCAACGGAAAAAUUCCAAAUUUUAAAAGGUCGUGAGUUGAAUUUUGUAUAGAAAUCGUAAAAUGUUCACGAAUUCAGAAAAUGGUAGAGAAAUCAUAAAAUAAAUAAGAUUAAGAAACUGUUUGCAUAGUAUAAAAACAUUAUUUCAAAGCAAAUAUUCAUGAUUUUUAAAAGGUGAUCGUGAAUUCAAAACAUAUUUAGCAAUUUGAAAAUUAUGUCCAUAAAAUUUUAAAAAAUGUUUGCAAAAAUUCAAACAGAUACGUAAAUAACGAAAAGACGAACCAUCACUUAAAUAUUUUUUAGGGGAUACAUAGAGGUUGUUUUAUGAUUUUAUUUAGUCCAUGACGCAUCGGUUAAAAAAGGGUUUUUGUGUUCUAUACAAUGCUUGCUCCCAGAAAAAUUGACACAACUUUCUAUGGCGCAAUGCUAGGUCAAGAUGAGACGUAGUUUAUGACAUGACAUUUUAGAAGUCCUUAUCUCAUCCUGACAUAGUCUAAUUGUUUUUCCCCAUUGUAAUGCACGGGCAUAUUUGCUAUAUCUCUACCUAAUAGAGGAUAAGCGGCAACACAAAUAUGAUAUCUCGCGAAAAUAAAGGAGAUGGACCUAUUGUGAUCUUGAGUGAUGGUUGUUGGGUUAAGAGCGUGUGUUAUGUUUUCUCUUCCGUUGCAACGCACGGGCUCUUUUGCUAGUAUCCUUGAAGAUUGUUUCUAACAAUGGUAUCAUGAGCAUGUUUAUGCCUAGAUUAGAUCCCUACUGACCUUCUGUUUACGUUAAUGGUAAUGGUUAAGUCAUAAUGAUUUCAGAUUAAGAUCGAUGGUUAAUGCCUAUAGAUUAAUGCCCUCUGCUAAGUCAAUGAUAUAUGUUCAGGUUAAUUGGUUUCGGUCAAGGCCAAUUGCUAUGGGUUAAUGCUAUUAGACAGAACGUCCAAUAUAUUCUGUUAGAUUAAUUGAGCCAAGCUUCCGCAUCGAGUUAAUGAUACAAUUAGCACGUUACAAUCCCCGGUUUAGCAAUUAGGAGGUGAUUUGACAAACUAAUGAAAAUCCCCAAAGUUCCAAAUUCACCAAAACCCUACCCUAGAAAAUUCCCCAAUUUGCAAAUCCAAAGCGCCAAAUGUUGAAAUUGAAGAAAAGAGGGACUGGUACUGUUGUUAAUGGCGGCCGCAGUGCGUGCUCGUCAUGGCCGGAACGACGCCGUCCUUCGGGACGACGACCAGUGUGAAGCGCGCCGCCGCUCGCCGCUCUAAUGGACGCGCACGUCGGCAGGGUUCCGCGCCUUGCACGUCGCCGUCACAUCCAAAAGAUUGCGCCGGCAAUUGCGCUCGUCUCCCCAUCGUCGCUGUCUGGGCCAUAUUGCGUCCCGAGUGGCCACGCUCGGCAGAGGAGCGCGCGGCACUCCGUCCGCUGCGGACCCCUGUUUUGUUCCGCUGGGUCUCGAUCUGGUCCGUCAAUCCGAUCGGACGGGUGACAGCGACAAGUUGCAAAUAAUGGGCCUCGGUUUGUUAAAUGGGCCAAACCUGGCAGUGGGCAGGUUGGUACCUCCUAUCUGCCACAUUCUGCGGCAGACUUGCAGGCGAGAGCUCCUAUGCGCCGAAUUGUCGAGCGGACGCACAGGCGUGUCUCCAGCUGGGCCAGCCCAUUAGCGCAAGGCGGUGAAUAAAUCCCAAAAUACUACGCUCGAGCGAGGGAUUGAACCAGGGACCUCCAUCUUUGUACGCAUGAGCCUAGCCAACGCGAUAGACAAGCUUUCUUGGUUUGCCAUGGCGCGCGAAGCUAACAGAUAAUGUAGAUCGGAACAUUUCUCAAAUUCCUAACGCGGAAAUUAUUUUGAAAAAGUGUUUUUUAAAAAAAGUGAACACUUUCCAAAUUUUAAAGAGAAAAACUAAAAAUCUUGUACAAAGUUUUGAUAAAAUGAACACUUUUUAAAAUCCCGAACAUUUUUUGAAUUUAGAGAACAAAAUUUGAACAUGAACAUUUUUUAAAGCACAAACAUUUUUUUAAUCUUGAGAACAAAUUUGGAAGCGCGGAUUUUUUUAAAGCAUCAACAUGUUUUUUGAAUCUUGAGAACAAAUUUGGAAGCGCGAACAAUUUCUUAAAGCACGAACAUUUUUUUAAUAUUGAGAAAAAAAUUUGAAACAGAGAACCAAUUUGAAAAAUCCCGAACAAAUUUGGAAGGGUGAACAUUUUUUGAAAAUGGGAACAAAAAAAUUAAAGUCUGGUACAUUAUAUUAAUUUCGAAAGUUUUAAACUUUUUUUGUAACGAGAACAAUUUUUGAAUUUUGAGAACAUUUUUAGAAAAAACUGAACAUUUUAUGGAAAGGCAACCAAAAUUUGAAUAUUUUGAAAAAUAGAGAGAAAAGAAAAAGAAAUAAGAGACCAAAGAAAGAAAACAAACAGAAAAAACGAAAAAAGAAGAAAUGAAAAAAGAAACAGAAAGGAAUUUGAAAAUCUGAAGAACAAAAAGGAAAUAGAAAGAGAAGAAAAAGGAAUUGAAAAUGAACUAAAGAAACAGAAAAACAAAGAAAGAAAAAAAAGAAACAGAAAAAGAAAAAGAAAAACUGUGAAAAACUGGUUCAAGAACCUUCUGGAAGGUUCUCAAAACCGGUCAGGAACCUUCCAGAAAGUACCCAAAACCAGAUACUAUAGCGCGUGUACUAUCUCGUAGUUGGGCCGGGCCAUCUUGAUUGCUAGGUCGCUCGCCUCUGUGGGUUCGCUCGACUUUCUGCCGCAAUGAUCGUCCGUUAGGAUAUUCCCUUACGGGGAGUUCCUAUGGAUCGCAUUCUGCGCUGCUUGAAAGCAUAUGACUCUAACCAGUUGACCUAGUGACAUUUCUUCAUUACAAUACACCGAUCCGUUAAAAAAUUCAAACCCAAAACUUGUUUUUUCAAAAAAAAACAUGAAUGUUUUAUCAAACGGGAACAUUUUUUCAAUUUUUUAAGAAUUUUGAGAAAACUUAAACAUUUUUCAUCACGCAAAAUAAUUUUGGAGAAGCGAACAUUUUCAAAAUGGAACAUGUUUUAAACUGCCAAAAAAACUGAACAGGAAUUUUUUUUCAAAAAUAGGAACAUUUUUCAAAUUCCAAAACAAAAUUUGGAAACACGAAUAAAUUUUGAACGCGCACAAAUUUUUAAUUUCCCAAACAUUUUUUUGAAAACAUGAAGGUUUUGGAAUAAUUUUUUAAAGAACGAACUUUUUUGAAUCUUGAGAACAAAUUUUGAAACGGAGAACAAAUUUUGAAGCGCGGACAAAUUUUUAAAACACUAACAUUUUUUGAAUUUUAAGAACAAAUUUUCAAAUGGAGAACAAUUUAAAAAAUUCCUGAACAAAUUUGGAUGCGUGAUGUUUUUUAAUACGUGAACAAAAAAUUGAAAUCCGGUACAUUUUCUGAAUUUCGAAAGUUGUGAACUUUUUUGUGUAAUGACAACAAUUUUUUGAAAACUGAACAUUUUUUUAAAACAUGGACGUUUUGGGAUUUGUGAACAAUUUUUUAGAGCAGAAACAUUUUUUGAAUCUUGAGAACGAAUUUCAAAAAGGAGAACAAAAUUUUAAUGCACGAACAUUUUUUGAAUCUUGAGAACAAAUUUUGAAAAGGAGAACAAUUUUGGAAAAUCCCUAACAAAUUUGGAAGCAUGAUUUUUUUUUGGAAUAAAUGAACAAAAAAUUGAAAUCCGGUACAUUUUCUGAAUUUCAAAAGUUGCUGAACUUUUUUGUGUAAUGAGAACAUUUUUUCAAAAACUGAACAUUUUGUUGGAAACAUGAAUAAAACUUGAAUAUUUUGAAAAAAGUUUGAAAAAAAGAGAAGGGAAGCAAAAGAAACAAAAACCAAAGAAAAAAUUGUUGAGAAGAGAAAUUAACUUGAAAAGGAAAACUGGAAGAAAACAAAAGAAGUAACGAAAAGAAAAGAAAAAAGAACCAGAAAAAGGAAGAAGAAAAACAAAUAGAAAGGCUAAAAAAGAAAAAUAAAAGGAAAAAUAAAAAACCGGUUCAGGAACCUUCUAGAUAGUUCCCAAAACCAGUAAGAACCGGCUGGGAACGCUCUAGAAGGUUCCCGAAACCAGAACCUGUAAGUACGCUAAAGAUGGGCCGGCCCAAAUCGCUCGCUAGUGGGCAUCCCUUGUGCGAUUCGUCAACAGUUUGACGCAAUAUGCGUCAAAUAGGAUUUUCCCACUGGCGGCGCUUCGCACAAGGGUGCCAAACUAACGGCCCGCCUAGGCAAUGAACCCCGUGAUGCGAAAAAAAAGGAAGAACGACGCGCCCUAGGUUCGAAAUCUUCGUGGCUAAUAAUUACCUGCCUCAACCAGUGGACCUGAUGACCUUUCGUGAACGGUAAGCAGCGCCAACAUUUAAGUAGUGACACUCGCGUAUAAAAAUUCCUAAAAGUGUUGGUCCAGCAGGGAUUCGAACUCGGCCCCUCCUGGUAGUAAACAGUGGCACAUAACCAUUGAAACACGUAUUUUCGGUCUCUAAAAUUGCAGCAUGGCUUAUAAGAAAUGCUAGGGCACACAACAUUUAGAGUACUCUGAAAAUUUUCCUUUGUUUUUAAGUUUCACUAUUAGCCUUUGUUUUUAAGUUUCAGUAAGUCCAACAAUGUUUCUGUUAAUUUCUUUUUUGAAUAAAUGUAUUACUGAUCGAGUGUUUCAGAACUUUAGAACACUUGUUUGUCCUGUAAUUUCAAACACAACAGAUCAUGUUUAAUUAACCACCAUAUCAGCAAAUUGUGCUUCAUAGACAAACAUUAUAGACUAUCAAGAUGAAUGUAGCAUCACCAUUACCUGUUCAGGCAGGCCAUUUCAACCAUGGAUUGUGGUUGCAAUUAUUUGACAAGCUUCAGCGCUAGAAUCUGCAACCACAUCUGACUCAUUGUACUGCAAAUGAAGAAUUGAGUCACUUUAUUAUCUGUGAAACAAGAUACAGAAUUGAUCAACAAUUAUCCUUAGGCUUGCUGUGAACAUGCAUGAGCUAUAACACAGCAGUCCCCCACUUAAGCAGCAAGGAGUAGAGCAAACAAUCUUGAACAUCAUGUCAAUAAACUGAAAAUGUUCAAGGUACUGCAGUAAACUGAAUCAAUGUCGUUUUAACAAUGUUGUUUCAAGCAGACAAAGGAGUUUCAAGUAAACUGAAAAUGUUCAAGGUAAUGCAGUAAACUGAAUCAACAACAACUACUCCCAACUCUAAAUUUUGACAGUAAGAAUAAGAAAGAAAAUUCAGUGAGUAAAUAAGAUUGCAGAAUAAGAAUAAGAACAGGGGCUUGAGGAUGUUCCAAUUAUUUAAGUGAAGAACUGCGAAUUUGUUAUGGUAGAUACUCCCAACUCUGAAUUAUGGGCAGAAUCAUGAGAUGACGAGAAAGGUUAUAGAGGGGCAGAAUCAUUGGCAUCAGAAGAAAAAUAAAUCAUGGACUAUAGAGGGGCAGUUUUGUACAGGCUAUAGAGGUUAAUGAUAGCUGUGGUGUUACCGACAAAAUUACUGGAGUGUAACGAAUCUUGCUAAUAAUCCUUAGCAAGACAAUAAUCUUUAGCACUUGAAAACUCUUUGCAGCAAACAAAAAUUAUCUUGGAAAGUGUCCACGGAAUUUCAGUCGGAGCCAUCUCCUUUUCAAAAACAUCAUGAAUCCAAAAUCUAGGAGACAGAUUUUAGAGAAUUGCUAAUAUUCCUGGGACAGUAGCAGCAUGGGCUAAUCUAAGCUUAACCUUAUUUCACACUUAACUGCCUGAUGUGACUGCACGAAGCACUGUUGUUGCAUUUUAUCACUAGGCAAAUGUUCUCUGCAAACAGCAUUCAUUCUUCUGGUUUUUCUCUGCAGGAGCAACAUAAAAGAGGCGAAGACGCCGAAGAACCAAAGAUAUCGGUAGCCAAAGCCUUCAAAGCGCAGGGAGAGGUAGCGUUAGAAGAUCACUACUGCUUUCUUUCAGGAGAGAUGGAAAUGUUGCUGUCGCUGUACCAACCGUUAGCUUAGACAACAGUAAGGCGUAAGCAAGCCCUGCACUGGGAUGAUGAUUUGCUUGGCCAUCUCAUGGGGAAAGUAUAUACAGGGAGAAGCUCUUAAACUUUGUUGCUUGUAAGUAAGCCACAUUUCGAUAGCAAAUCAUUGAUCAGGAAAUAUCAACCUACUCCUAAAAUUCUGAACUUUGGAGUAAAAAGUUACAGUAAUGAACAUGUUACAGUAAUGGACUAAGACUGAACCUGCAAUCCCAAAAUUUUGUCCCUUUCAUUGAUUCUGGAGAAAAAAGGAAGAGAUUGCAGCUUCACCUGGGCACGACUCGUGCACGGGCGGAAGCUCCGGCCGCCGGCAGCCGCGGGGAAGAACGAGGCGGUGGUUGUGCGUAGGCGCCGGCUUCGCUCUGCUCUGCCUGUCACGACCGCCGUGUCCGCUCCCGCGCUUGGAGAAGCCGACCUCCUCGUCGAGGCCCAGCUCCGGCUCGCCGGUGCUCCGGUACGCUCCCUCUGCUCCGGCACGCUCCCGCUGCCCCGGCUCGCCGCAGAUCGACACCAAAUCGGCACUUGACGG
RNAcentral lists this long non-coding RNA (10828 nucleotides) under Triticum aestivum (bread wheat). Its description in RNAcentral is "long non-coding RNA (TAES_LNC024699)". Lineage: Eukaryota; Viridiplantae; Streptophyta; Magnoliopsida; Poales; Poaceae. The record is from RNAcentral.